ACCAAAAGCGUCAACUGCAAACGCUUCUCUUUAUGAAAAGCCUCUCUACUCCAUUUCUCUUCUCAUUUCAGUACAAAAGGAAGUCGUCCACUCCUGAAACGAAACAAGUGAAGUAGGAGACUCUUAACAGAUACAUUUCCCUCCAGUGACUGCAGACAGAAUCUAGGAUGACUUGAUCAGGUUAAACACCAAAUGCAUACACAGGUAUCCACUGUCUGGAGAAGAGUCCCCAUCAGGACUUCGGCCCCUUGUCUUUGCCGCCUCUCUAAAUAUAGAUGACAGUUCCUCAAUGAAUGUGGCAGCUUUGUCACACAGCUUGUUCCUGAAAGGAACGUCUCCUUGGGAUGCUGAUUCAGACUUCGUGGAGGGCACACCUGAAGCAUGCUUUUCUGAAUGUUUCAGGCUCCUAAUGUAGCUGGGACUAGCAGCUAGCGAAGGUGAGGUGCUUUCUUGCUUCCUGGAGACUGUGACAAAACUACUCGCCAUUUUCGGUGAGGUGAAUUGCUCUUUCUGAUUCACUGGAGGAAUGUGACUUGCUGAAGAUGAAGUCAGGCUGCUUGCUUGAGACCUCUGUGAAGCACCUUGCUCGUGCACUUCGGUAUCCCGAAAAGAAGCAUGCUCUAAAGCACAAGAAACAGAAGUACUGAAAUGAGUCAACUCCGGUGCUAUAUUCUGAUCCUCCUUCAUGGAACUGGCAAUUGAUUCCCGAGCUAUGUCAAGACUUUUACAUAUCUCCUCCUGGGAUUAAGAUGAGUUGCCUGCUUCUUUAAAGCCAACAAAGACGACUGUUCUCCCAAGGCAAAGGUCAACGUCAAAUCCCUCUUAUUGAAAUUCAUGUGUCCUAUCGGUCGCUAGAAUGUGGAUGAUCUGAUCUUAAAAGUAACUGUUUUGUCCGCAAGCUAUUUAAUUAAAUCAAGCAUCAAUAUUUUUAAUUAUCCUUGACAGUUCUCUUCUGAUGAUGGUUUGCGUGAGAUUCAUUCUACACAAGAUAUUCAUAAAACCAUUUUUUCCUUCUAAUGCUCCAAAGCAUUGUUUCACCAAAAUACAGGUGGCUGGGCAGCCAUGAGAUGCACUCAGAUCUAUUUUACAUCAGCUUGUGCAAGCUCCAAUAACCUUUAGUCACUUCCCCGGGGCUUAUCUGGCAUGUAUUCAUUAACUGACUGAUAGAUUAUUGGAAUUCUUGGCCUGGCAUAUGCAUCUCUUGCUAUCUCUACUUGUCUUGCCAACAGAUUACAACUUAAUGCACAAAAGAAAUACAAGCAAAGCAACGUGGUUUUUUUAGUAUUUGAAAUGUGUUUUUGUAGAAUAUGUUGACAGGUGCCUUCUUCGAUGGCAUCCUCUUUGAUGGGAUUACACCUUUCUUCCUUUUUAUCUGUGUUCACAGGGCAAGAAAUUUAGCAACCAUGCCAAUGCAUUGUUAACAUAAUCUAAAAAAGGAUGUACAGUACACUUGAUUACCAUACAGCAGCUUGAAAGAAUGAAUCUGAGAAGCCAAGAGCACAGUUGGUCUAGAGUCUCAGCUGUUCAGGCAUAAGCUUAACAGAUGCCUGCAAACAAAGGGUUAAAUCUGCAGACCUUAGAUUUUAAAAUGUCAUAUUGAAAUGAACAAAUAUACUAGUUUUCUACUUGGAUAAUUUGUUAUUGUAAAUUUCUGUGCUUAAACGUUAUCUUUAUU
Lagopus leucura (white-tailed ptarmigan) is the source of this 1675-nucleotide long non-coding RNA. RefSeq lists it as uncharacterized. Lineage: Eukaryota; Metazoa; Chordata; Aves; Galliformes; Phasianidae. The record is from RefSeq and is a predicted model, not a curated record. The transcript is spliced from 4 exons.